UACGAAGGGAGCUAGCGUUGUUCGGAAUCACUGGGCGUAAAGCGUGCGCAGGCGGCCUGACAAGUCAGGGGUGAAAUGCCAAGGCUCAACCUUGGAACUGCCUUUGAAACUGUCAGGCUCGAGACUCGGAGGGGUUAGCGGAAUUCCUAAUGUAGCGGUGAAAUGCGUAGAUAUUAGGAGGAACACCAAUGGCGAAGGCAGCUAACUGGACGAGUACUGACGCUCAUGCACGAAAGCGUGGGGAUCAAACAGG
Molecule: ribosomal RNA, 253 nt
Filed under: uncultured bacterium
Lineage: Bacteria
Description: partial 16S ribosomal RNA
Rfam family: Bacterial small subunit ribosomal RNA
Source: RNAcentral